GGUAUCAAUCCUCCCUUGCCGUGUCAACCCUAUUUUCAAUGGUAUCUAUUGACAGCAGACACAAACCGUAAACCAAGACAGAAAAAGAUUGCUGAUUAAGAUUAGAUUAGUAGUGUACGUAAGAUGCAGUAGUUACUCACUCUAUUGUAGUACGCCGCUGCGCUGCGAACGACUGCGGUCACUCGUGGUGUGCAGGAACGCGAGGCUAUGCACGCGCUGCUCAAAUGCCGUUUGCGAUGGUUGUCGCGGCGAUUUGCUAGCAGAGUGACUGAAAUCUCAAGAGAGAACAUUUCUGUUCUUCAACCCAGCGACGUCGACGUAUUCUCCGACAUCGUAGCGAGCACAACGUUCUAACAGUGAAGGACGAGACGCAAUCAUACAAUGUCGACUAGCUCAACCUCUACCGCGGACACGCGUCGGCAGUGUUAAGACCCACGACGAUGGAACAAGUGUCGCUUGUGUUGAAGUACUGUAACGACCGCAAUCUGUUCGUGGUGCCCCAGGAGGGUACACGGGGCUAGUCGACGUCUCCUAUGAAUAGAGUAAUUCAUUUUAACGGUGCAUCGGGAGUUCUGACAUGUCAAGCCGGAUGCAUUCUUCAGAACUUGGAUGCGUUAUUGGAAGGGAGAGGUCACGUGAUGCCUCUGGAUCUCAGAGCGAAAGGAAGCUGUCAGAUAGGAGGGAAUGUGGCUACAAAUGCGGGAGGGAUUUGUUUGUUGCGCUAUGGUUUACUUGGCGGAAGUGUUCUGGGUGUCCAGGCCGUUCACAUGUCAAGGUGUAUUAGUUCACAACUCUGAGCAGAAGAAAAUGACUUUCGACUAAUAUGGCGACAUCAAAUACUCUGAUGUUGAGCCCAGUUACCUGCCAUCACAAUUCGAGAUUGUCUUCAUCAAAGAGAAUGUCAGCAAGUCUGGUCAUGUCGUUUGUAUACGCUGCCACGCCCUUUGGUCCGCACUAAAACUACUUUGUGGCUCUGAAGGGCAGUGGUGAAGAAAUGAAAUUUACAGUAGAGAAUGCUGGAACUGACGCGAUUCCUACAGAUGAAUUUUUUAUUUUACUAUGAGCUAUGAUUCCUAUUCCAAAGUGCAUCGUUUCCAAGUGCUAUCCGGUGAUUCUCGAUACCUUGCAUUUGAUUCCCAAGGAGUUCAAGCGACUAUUACAGACAAAGACUCAGACAGCACAGUCUUUGACUUAUUAAUGUGAUCAUAGUAGUUUGAUCGAUGAGGGUAUGUCAAUCGAUUUACAUAAAAGUGCUUUUAAAGCGUCUGUUUUGAUGGAUUUAAUAGUUCUUACUUUUUGCUGAUUAGCUAAGCUUAUUUAGUUAACUGAAUUGCCGUGAACUGAACAUUGAAUAAAAGAGAAUUGCUUUGCUA
Long non-coding RNA from Corticium candelabrum, 1373 nucleotides. RefSeq lists it as uncharacterized. Lineage: Eukaryota; Metazoa; Porifera; Homoscleromorpha; Homosclerophorida; Plakinidae. The record is from RefSeq and is a predicted model, not a curated record. The transcript is spliced from 2 exons.